Molecule: long non-coding RNA, 1916 nt
Organism: Cyprinus carpio carpio
Lineage: Eukaryota; Metazoa; Chordata; Actinopteri; Cypriniformes; Cyprinidae
Source: Ensembl
ACAGACAAAUGAGUGUCAUACAGGUUUGAAAUGACAUGGGGACCUCCAAAACGGUCUAGAAUUGCCUGUUUUGUACUAAUCUGAAAUCUUCAGUAUCGCUGCUUAUUUUUAAAAGCAUGGUGGAAAGCCCCAUCUUGUGGUCAACAUUAGAUAUUACAGUGCUUGUGGCAAAGAAACAUUCAACCCCCAGUGAAGCAAAUAAAAUACAUCAAAACAAUUAUUUCGAGGACAAAUUUGAGGUUAGACCUCUAAUUCAGGUCUAUUUUUUAAUCAGAAUUCAACCGCCAACUUACAUUAGGGAGACAAUGUUAUGAAUACAAAUGAUUUUUCAAAGAAAUGCAUUCUUUAAAAUAAUAAAAAACAAACAUUUGGAAAAAAAAGUGCAUACACAAAACAUACAAAUAAAUUAACAAAAAGCAUUUGACACAGUCUCAUGCAACCAAACAUUUACAUGGUUUUCGCUUUUUCUAACUAAAUAUCAUUUUCCUCUUUUGGGUGACCUUAACUUAUGGUCAUACAUUAAAAUGACAGCCCAGUUAUAAUCCCACCAAAGCAGGUACCAGUUCAUGAACAAUACAUGAAAACUGCUCUGGGUCGUGAGAAAUCAUUCAAGUCCAGUGUGUAAACCACGCACGCAUAUUAUACCAUGAGACUGAUACAGCUUCAAUAUAAUGAUAAGAUCAUCUGUCCUAUCCAAACACUUGAUAAGACCAUGUCAUAUUAGCCAUUGAGCCACUGAAAGCAUCCCAUAUGCAAUAAGACUAAGAGAGGGUAAUUGCAUCUGGCAGAAAGAUAUUCUCUGAAUUCACGGUCCAAGAACUUCACAUCCUAAAACAUGGAAUGACGUGAAAGUGUGACAAAGUGAAUGUAGUGUUCAGUGUUUCAGCAUUGCAAGCGAUGCAGGAAUUGUGUGCACUGAUUGAAUGCUGACGGUAAAGUUACAUAGCUGAUAUAAGAUACAACAUUCCCUACAUACUACAUAUGAAAGCAUGACCAGACCACAUCACGCCAGCGAAAUGUGAAAAACCAAAACAGGCUGUGACUAUAAAAAUAUAAAAACUAAAUUCAUCACAUGGAAACAGGGAGGUCUUACCCUAAAGAACAGCUUAUGAAUUAAAAUAAUAGUUUUAAUAAAAAGAUAGUUUAUAAAAGGAAAAUAGCAUGAAAAUACAAUGCCAAUUGCUCAUUUUGGAAUACAUAUGAUUAAAGCUAAUAAUUUAUGUUUUCAUAUUACAAUGUUCAAAAAAAUUUAAGUUGGAAAAGUGUGCAAAAAAAGCAAUAAAAUGCAAACAAUUCGUGCUCCGUUUUCUUUCAAAUAAAACAAAAAAUAAAUUCAGACAUUAACAACAAGACUCUUGUUUAGCAACAGUCACUUGCAUAGUUAAGUGCAUGCAUUAAUAUUAUCAUGCAACACUGCUUUUUUACAAAUACUUUUUCAGUGCACACACAAUAUGGGUCUGUCGCAAACAAACAAACAAACAAACAAACAAACAAACAAAAAGUAGUGUGCUACACAUUAGGUUCAUUGCUAAAGUAUCUAUUUUAAGAUAAAGUGUGCUGAAAAAGAGGGUUUUCUCAGACCGAAAAGCAGCAUGAAAAUGAGAACGGUUCAACAGUGGCAUCAGCGGCGUUUGGAUUAACGUUUUAAUUACAGGGCAGCAAACUGAACAGCGGCCAACAUAAUGACACUGUUAUGCAAAUGUAACAAUAAUGACUUGCUUAACCCUACACUUCUCCUGUCGUACAUAACAUUUUGACUCAGUCCAAAUGAACUUGUCUAAGCGAAAUCGAGAAUGAAUGAAAAUAUAUUUAGGUGAACUCCAUGGCGUUGACAAGCAUGCAAAACAAACAAAGGCCUUUCUGCAGAACAAUUUCAAUUGGAUAUUAAAUCAAAAACUCUUAGCCAAAAAAAAAAA